GGAUCAUUGUGGCUGUGGUCACUGGGAUUGCUGUAGCGGCCAUUGUUGCUGCUGUAGUGGCCUUGAUCUACUGCAGGAAAAAGCGGAUUUCAGCCACCUGGACGUCAAAUGAUUGCCAUCAGAAAGAGACAACCUGAAGAAACCAACAAUGACUAUGAAACAGCUGACGGCGGCUACAUGACUCUGAACCCCAGGGCACCUACUGACGAUGAUAAAAACAUCUACCUGACUCUUCCUCCCAACGACCAUGUCAACAGGCUGUAUUGAUUGGGGUGUAGACUGAACUAUCCGGGGUCUGUUUCUUUUCGGUGAUGAAAGUCUUGAGAAGGUAGUAAUGGAUAAGAUGUGAAGGAGAGGAGAGAUGGAGAUUUGGAGUGUAGGCGGAAAUCCGAACGCCAGAAGAUCUGAAUGGAAUGUUCUGGAUUGAAGAAAGUGGGAAAUGGCCUCAAUUCACAAAGUCACAGCCUGAUAGAAACCAGUGUGACUUUACUGCCCAGUGAACCCAUCUCGUCCUCCAGCCUUUAGGAGGUAGGUUGGACUGGAGCCUGCAGUAGUUUACUCUCCACCUGAGUCCUGGUCUCCGGCUGGGAACCCACUUAGGCCAUAGAGAAAAACGCACACUGUGCCUCUCCACCGGGCCUCUGGAGACGAGGCUCCUCGGGGAUACAAACAGUGGGGAGAACAUGAGGGACAUCCUGACCGUACACUGCGUCCUCCUUUCCCAGGUGUUGCGUUCUCUCUUGGGUUGAGUGGCGAGGUCUCUCCCGAGUCCCAGGGCCACAGUGCAAUGUCACAUCUCCUUUGUGGAAAGUGACUGGUAAAAGAGAACAAAACUGGAGGAACCUAAAGUCUUCGGCCACCUGGUUUAAUUUAUUCAAGAGUGAUUAAUCCUAGAUGAGAAAAAGAAUUGAAAUGGAUCGGAAAAAACCAAGCGUGCAUUGGCCGGUAAUCGGACGCGGGCCUCCCGCGUUGCGGGCGAGAAGUCUACCACUACACCACCAAUGCUAAUGUCGAUGAAAGAGCUGCAGUGUCAUCUCUUAAAGCUGAUUAUCUCUGGCCAUUCCUUAAGGAAACAGGCACUGUCUUAAAUCGUGGUUUGGA
This 1101-nucleotide long non-coding RNA is filed under the name Homo sapiens (human). Its description in RNAcentral is "long non-coding RNA NONHSAT007190.2". Lineage: Eukaryota; Metazoa; Chordata; Mammalia; Primates; Hominidae. The record is from RNAcentral.